Molecule: non-coding RNA, 74 nt
Organism: Pangasianodon gigas (Mekong giant catfish)
Lineage: Eukaryota; Metazoa; Chordata; Actinopteri; Siluriformes; Pangasiidae
Source: the annotation of a GenBank genome assembly
UUUUUUCUCUACCUAGGGUUCAGAUGUAGAUGCAGACUCCAGUCAAAUUGAUGUUAGCCUGCUCAAAGUUUUAA